AGAAAUGUGAAACCUAAGAGAUGACCGGUGAGGGGAUCUUAACCCUUGACUUUGACUUUGGUGACUUGGUGUUGUAAGCACCACACUCUCCCAGGCUGAAGCUUGAGCUUUUCAUGCUGUCAUCUCCUGCUACGGAAACAGCUCAUAACCCUAACUCACCUUUUGGAAGGAAGCUGCCCUAGAGAGCAACUGGGCUUACAAUGGACUUUAAGCCAGAAAUAAACUUUUAUGUAUUAAACUA
Cynocephalus volans (Philippine flying lemur) is the source of this 241-nucleotide long non-coding RNA. RefSeq lists it as uncharacterized. The transcript has 3 exons. The record is from RefSeq and is a predicted model, not a curated record. Lineage: Eukaryota; Metazoa; Chordata; Mammalia; Dermoptera; Cynocephalidae.